Molecule: Y RNA, 113 nt
Filed under: Prolemur simus (greater bamboo lemur)
Lineage: Eukaryota; Metazoa; Chordata; Mammalia; Primates; Lemuridae
Description: Y RNA (ENSPSMG00000004059.1)
Rfam family: Y RNA
About the family: Y RNAs are components of the Ro ribonucleoprotein particle (Ro RNP), in association with Ro60 and La proteins. The Y RNAs and Ro60 and La proteins are well conserved, but the function of the Ro RNP is not known.
Source: Rfam by way of RNAcentral
AGCUGGUCCAAAGACAGUGAGUUAUCUCAAUUUAUUGUUCACAGUCAGUUACAGAUCGAACUCCUUGUUUGACUCCUUCCUCCUUACUUGCUACUGCACUUGACUAGUCUUAA